AAAGAGAGGAACGUGUUUUCUUGGACUUCGAUGAUUGAUGGGUAUGGAAAGAACGGGAACCCUGAGGAAGCGCUUGAGCUCUUCGCUAAGAUGAAGGAAGUGAAUAUAGCACCUAACUAUGUAACCUUUCUUGGAGCUCUCUCUGCGUGUUCGCAUUCUGGUUUGGUUGAGAAUGGCUAUGAGGUUUUUGAGAGCAUGCAGAGAGAUUACUCUAUGAGGCCGAAGAUGGAGCACUAUGCUUGCAUGGUUGAUCUCAUGGGACGGGCUGGAGAUUUGAGUAAAGCUUUGGAGUUUGUUAGGGCGAUGCCGGAAAGGCCUAACUCUGAUGUUUGGGCUGCUCUUCUUAGCUCUUGUAGACUGCAUGGGAAUGUUGACAUUGCAAGCGAAGCUGCGGAUGAGCUUUUUAAACUGAAUGCGGAUAAAAGACCUGGGGCUUAAGUUUUGGCGGGAAAAUUCGGUUCUCCAGUUUUGGCGGGAAAAUUGUAUUUUUCGGUUUUGGCGGAAAAAUUGUAUUUUUCGGUUUUGGCGAGAAAAUGUGUUUUUUUUCGGGUUUGGCGAGAAAAUGCUUUGUUUCCGGUUUUGGCUGGUAAAUGCUUUUUGCGGUUUUGGCCGGAAAAUGCUUUUGGAGUUUUGGCGGGAAUAUGCGUUUUUUGGGUUUUGGUCGAAAACUGUGGUUUUACUGGUUUAGCUGAAAAAUAUAUUUUAAUGAAAAUGUGUGUUUUAUGUUUUUUGCGGAAAAAUGCAUCUUGCGGUUUUGGCGGGAAAUUGUGUUUUUCGUUUUUGCGAGAAAAUGUAUUUUCUGGUUUUGGCGGAAAAAUGUAUUUGCAAAAAAAUAAGAUUGACGGUUUGAAAAUAUUAUUUUGAUUUUAAAAGGUCAUUUUUGUCAUUUAUCAUUUUGGAUUAUACUAGAUGCAUCUGCAUCCAGAUGCACCAUCAAGACUCACCUUCAUUUGGGUGAGAAUUUGAGAUGAGUUUUUAAAAAUUCAGCUGGGUGAUCCAUCUGGAUGUAACAUUAUAAUGCGAUAAACGAACAUCAAUUUGCAUCUUCAUCGAGAUGGAUCACCUGGGUGAGCAAACGAACAGGACCUUGCAUUUAUACCAAAAGUCGUAGUGAGAAUCUAAAAUAGCCUUUCUAAUGGUGAAGAUAAAUGCAUGUGCUCUAAAGCAGAGUUUGUUUUAUGAUAUCUAUCUGCUGACAUUUGAAACAUAAGGUUUACUAAAAAGUCAAUGGGGGCAUUCCGAGAAUUGAACUCGGGACCUCUCGCACCCUAAGCGAGAAUCAUACCACUAGACCAAAUGCCCUGUUGUUUAGCAGUUUAGUUACAAUGUUGAAGAUCUGGUCAUAUUUUGAUCUCGUUCCCUAAGUUGACUUUUGUUAAACAAAAGUCUUUAGUUGGACCUAAUCUUUGAGAUCUUUUUGAACUGAAAUGAAUAAACAAAUAUUUCAGUCUUAGUUGUCUCUUGUAGAAAUCUAUGAUAUGCUGCUCCAGUCUGUUAUCAUGACUCAGUUUUACCUUAGCUGCUUAUCUGUUUUCACUGUUUAAAAUGCAAUACCUGAAUUAUAAUUCAUUCAUUUUGACUGUUUUUGAGUUAUAUGAUCUGCAAUGAAACUAAAAUAUUGAAAGCUCUUUCAGUUUGGUUUGGAAACAUUGUAAAGUAAAAAAUAUCAAAGGGGCAUUCCGAGAAUCGAACUCGGGACCUCUCGCACCCAAAGCGAGAAUCAUACCACUAGACCAAAUGCCCUGUUAUAGAUGUUAUCCAUUACAAGCAUUAGAAUCUUUGAGUUGAAACCAUGCCGUUAGGGUCUGUUAGAAUCUGCAGUUUCAAAUGUAACUUGAAUGAAAUGUUUUUGAGUCCCUCUGCUAGAUGUUCCCCAUUGAAUAUUCCUCUGUAGGAGUUGUUUGUGUUAUUUUCAUUUGGAUUUCUAGCAUCUCCUAGUGUAAGUCCUCUGAUACGAAUCUUGAUGAAUCUGGCACCUUACAAAAUGCAUGGCGGUUUACACUGCUUGAAAUUUAUUGGUUAAAAGACUUAUAUAAUGGGCGUGAAACAUUGCCUUGUUGACAUAAAUCAGUUAAUGCUUAGCUGUUUUUUGAACUUGAAUACUGGUUUUAAGCUAUGUUCUUUUGACUCUUGCAGUUAUCUCUUGAAGAAGUUGCAGCAUUCAGCUAUUCUCCAGAAAGUGUUUUCUUUCGAAAAGCCAAGGACCAAGGUUUAUUCUACAUAUAUAGUUGUUGAACAUGAAUAUAUAGUUGUUGAACAUGAGCGGUUCACAACUUAUGCAGUAAAACAGGUUUAUUCUACAAGAUAGUUCUCAGCUUGCAUUUUAGGACAGCUAUCCAAAAAAAGUCAAUGGGGGCAUUCCGAGAAUCGAACUCGGGACCUCUCGCACCCAAAGCGAGAAUCAUACCACUAGACCAAAUGCCCUGUUGUUUAUGUAAUUCGAUCAACGCAUAACUGUUCUUGAAACUCUAAUAUUACUGGAAAUCAACUGAUGUAGGUGUUAUGCUUUUCAUUUCUCACAGUUGCCGUUUUGGAGAACCUGGCAGCAUAACAAAAAGGUGUUUUCGUGAAGCAAAUAUGAGUCAUGGAAUGUGAAAGCAGAGGUACCUUGUGGAUCCAAUUCUACGAGUUUUUAAACUUCCGCACUCAAUUUUCCGAAGUCAUGAUGGGCUAUUGUUAUGAUUCUUGAUUGUCACUGUAAAUCCAUAUGCUAUUGAACAGAUUGUUUUACGUUUGAAUGUUAAUUAUCAUAAAGUUAUCAGCAAAAGCUUUUGCCUUUCAAACGUGACAUGAAGCACUGCAUAGGCUAAUGAACAGAGUUCCUGAAUGCUAUUGAUCAAGCUUCUCUUGUAUUUUGGAUUUUAACUUGCUCACAUUCCAAGAGCUAGAGAUUUGAGUCCUGCUGCUCAUUGUUUUUCUUUUUUUUUUUGGCUUAACAUUUUGAUGAACAACUAAUUCUAGAAGUUGUAUAAUUUUAGGGGGAGGAAACUUGUUAAUUGUUAGAUUCUUUCAUUUAAAAGUAUUACAGUGUUUUGUUUACAAAUGUAAAAAAAAAGCUGAAUAUUAAAAGUUAUGGUUAAAAUUCAAAUAUAAACCAAAGCCAACUAAUAUAAUGCUUCUACAACAAGAAACUUCUCUAUUACCAAACAACUGUUGGAAAAAACCACUGUUAUUACCGGACAAGGAUCGAUCUUGAUCACAGUUUAGAUCAGCUAAUGAGAAUCUUCAGACUCUCAUCAGUCGCACCGCGAAUUUUCCAGUCAAAUCACUACGCAACUCUCUCACCUGCGGCAACCAUCGCCGGAGCUCUUCAAGAACACAUCAACUCUCCGUCCCCAAACUCCGGGAAGAAGAUUCACGCCGACAUAAUCAAAACUGGGUUUAGACCAAAUCUAAACAUAUCCAUCAAACUACUUAUCUUACAUCUAAAAUGCGGAUGCAUGACUUACGCACGCCAAGUGUUCGACGAAUUGCCCAAACCAACGCUAUCGGCUUACAACUACUUGAUCAGUGGCUACCUGAAGCAAGGAUUGAUAAAGCAAUGUCUCCUCCUAGUCCAACGCAUGGCAUUCUCUGGUGAAAACGCAGACGGGUAUACGCUCUCCAUGGUUCUAAAGGCAUCAUCAUCAUCAUCUACUAGUCUUGGUAGCUUAUGCAGGCUUGUCCACGCCCGGAUUAUAAAAGGCCACGUUGAGCUAGACGAUGUGUUGGUGACUGCGCUUGUUGAUGCUUAUGUCAAGAGCGGGAAGCUGGAGUGUGCGAGGACAGUGUUCGAAACGAUGAAAGACGAGAGUGUGGUGUGUUCCACAUCGAUGAUCUCGGGUUACAUGAACCAAGGCCUCGUGGAGGAUGCUGAAGAGAUUUUUGAUAAGACUAGAGUGAAGGAUAUUGUAGUUUACAACGCUAUGGUCGAAGGUUUGAGCAGAACAGGUGAGACUGCUAAAAGAGCUGUUGAGAUGUAUGUCUUAAUGCAGCGGGCAGGUUUCCAUCCGAAUAUCUCGUCAUUCGCUAGCGUGAUCGGCGCGUGUUCGGUUCUGACCGCGCGUGAAGUUGGUAUGCAGGUGCACGGUCAGGUUAUGAAGAGUGGUGUGUAUACGCAUAUCAAAAUGGGGAGCUCUUUGUUGGAUAUGUAUGCAAAGUGCGGUGGGAUUGAUGAUGCGAGGAAGGUUUUUGAUCAGAUGAAAGAGAGGAACGUGUUUUCUUGGACUUCGAUGAUUGAUGGGUAUGGAAAGAACGGGAACCCUGAGGAAGCGCUUGAGCUCUUCGCUAAGAUGAAGGAAGUGAAUAUAGCACCUAACUAUGUAACCUUUCUUGGAGCUCUCUCUGCGUGUUCGCAUUCUGGUUUGGUUGAGAAUGGCUAUGAGGUUUUUGAGAGCAUGCAGAG
RNAcentral lists this long non-coding RNA (4384 nucleotides) under Brassica napus (rape). RNAcentral describes it as "long non-coding RNA (BNAP_LNC007111)". The record is from RNAcentral. Lineage: Eukaryota; Viridiplantae; Streptophyta; Magnoliopsida; Brassicales; Brassicaceae.